AGAGUUUGAUCAUGGCUCAGAAUCAACGCUGGCGGCGUGCCUAACACAUGCAAGUCGAACGCGAAAGGGGCUUCGGCCCUGAGUAGAGUGGCGAACGGGUGAGUAACACGUGGGUGAUCUACCUUCGAGUGGGGGAUAACGUUCCGAAAGGAGCGCUAAUACCGCAUGAUGUUCCGGGUUUAAACACCUGGAAACCAAAGCCGGGGACCGCAAGGCCUGGCGCUUGAAGAGGAGCCUGCGUCCGAUUAGCUAGUUGGCGGGGUAAUGGCCCACCAAGGCGACGAUCGGUAGCCGGCCUGAGAGGGCGGACGGCCACACUGGAACUGAGACACGGUCCAGACUCCUACGGGAGGCAGCAGUGGGGAAUUGUUCACAAUGGGCGCAAGCCUGAUGACGCAACGCCGCGUGGGGGAUGAAGGUCUUCGGAUCGUAAACCCCUGUCGAAUGGGACGAAAGACCCGGGAGCUAAUCAUCCCGGGAGUGACGGUACCGUUAAAGGAAGCCACGGCUAACUCUGUGCCAGCAGCCGCGGUAAUACAGAGGUGGCAAGCGUUGUUCGGAAUUACUGGGCGUAAAGGGCGCGUAGGCGGCCAUCUAAGUCAGACGUGAAAUCCCCCGGCUUAACCUGGGAACUGCGUCUGAUACUGGACGGCUCGAGUUUGGGAGAGGGAUGCAGAAUUCCAGGUGUAGCGGUGAAAUGCGUAGAUAUCU
This 711-nucleotide ribosomal RNA is filed under the name uncultured bacterium. Its description in RNAcentral is "bacterial SSU rRNA". It matches the Rfam family "Bacterial small subunit ribosomal RNA", at positions 8 to 699 of the family's 1533-position model. The record is from RNAcentral.